AACGCAGCGAAGGGCGAUAAGUAAUGCGAAUUGCAGAAUUCCAGUGAGUCAUCGAAUCUUUGAACGCACAUUGCGCCCUUUGGUAUUCCGAAGGGCAUGCCUGUUCGAGCGUCAUUAUCACCCCUCAAGCCCCGUGCUUGGUGUUGGACGGCUUGGUCGCGUCACCGCGACUCCUCCUAAAGACAAUGACGGCGGCCUGUGGUUCCCGCGGUACACUGAGCUUUUAAUUGAGCACGUAUUGGAUAAGGGCGCCCGGGACCCGGUCUUCUCCCUUUACCGGGAAAUUUUUCAAUGGUUGACCUCGGAUCAGGUAGGAAUACGCGCUGAACUUAA
Molecule: ribosomal RNA, 333 nt
Filed under: uncultured fungus
Lineage: Eukaryota; Fungi
Description: eukaryotic LSU rRNA
Rfam family: 5.8S ribosomal RNA (bases 1-114)
Source: RNAcentral